GACAAAAUCCCUACACCGGUGAGAAUGCCCUCUGUACCACACUUAGGUUUAAAGGAGCGGACAUCAAGCACACUGCUAAGUAGCUCACGACGUCUUGCUUUGCCACACCCCCACGGGAGACAGCAGUAAUAAAAAUUAAGCAAUAAACGAAAGUUUGACUAAGUCAUGCAGCAAUCAGGGUUGGUAAAUCUCGUGCCAGCCACCGCGGUCAUACGAUUGACCCUAGUUAAUAAAUCCCGGCGUAAAAAGUGUUUUGGAACUAUAAAAAAUAAGACUAAUCCUUGUCUAAGUUGUAGAAAACUCUAGACACGGUAGAAACCAUAAACGAAAGUAGUUUUAAUAAGUCCGACACACGAAAGCUAAGGCCCAAACUGGGAUUAGAUACCCCACUAUGCUUAGCCAUAAACACAAAAACUUACAUAACAAAAGAUUUCGCCAGAGAACUACUAGCAAUAGCUUAAAACUCAAAGGACUUGGCGGUGCUUUAUACCCGCCUAGAGGAGCCUGUUCUAUAAUCGAUAAACCCCGAUACACCUCACCUCUCCUUGCUAAUUCAGCCUAUAUACCGCCAUCUUCAGCCAACCCUAUUAUGGAAACAAAGUGAGCGCAAGUACACUACAUAAAAACGUUAGGUCAAGGUGUAGCCAAUGGAGAGGGAAGAAAUGGGCUACAUUUUCUUACCCAAGAACAUUAAACGCAAAUCUUUAUGAAAUUCAAAGAUCUAAGGAGGAUUUAGUAGUAAAUCAAGAAUAGAGAGCUUGAUUG
Molecule: ribosomal RNA, 765 nt
Filed under: Cavia aperea guianae
Lineage: Eukaryota; Metazoa; Chordata; Mammalia; Rodentia; Caviidae
Description: partial 12S rRNA
Rfam family: Bacterial small subunit ribosomal RNA
Source: RNAcentral